This 309-nucleotide ribosomal RNA is filed under the name Triticum aestivum (bread wheat). RNAcentral's name for it is "partial small subunit ribosomal RNA". Lineage: Eukaryota; Viridiplantae; Streptophyta; Magnoliopsida; Poales; Poaceae. The record is from RNAcentral.
AUGCCAUGCAUAGUUAAACCGGACGUGCAUCAUCCUUGGUUGUGCAUCAUGCCAUGUUUAUGCUUGUGUGUUUACCAUGUUGUUUGCUUCUUUCCGGUUUGCUUCUCUCGUUAUCUUCGGUUUCGUUCUGGAGUUGUGAGGAUCUGUUCGACUACGUCCGUUUGUCUCCUUCAUGGACUCGUUCUUCUUCCUUGCGAGAUUUCAGUUGCAGGCACCGAGAAUACCAGUGGAGGUGACGCAACUGAGAUCAAGCGGGAGCUUGAUGAAGAUCUUGAUCGUUGUUUUGUGUCUUUUCCGGAUGAUCAGUAG